This 116-nucleotide ribosomal RNA is filed under the name Enterobacteriaceae endosymbiont of Donacia clavipes. Lineage: Bacteria; Pseudomonadati; Pseudomonadota; Gammaproteobacteria; Enterobacterales; Enterobacteriaceae. The record is from RNAcentral.
CCUGGUAUAAAUAACGCAAUGGUACCACCUGAAUCCAUUCCGAACUCAGAAGUGAAACAUUGUAGUGCCGAUGGUAGUAUGAGGUUUCCUCAUGUAAGAGUAGGUAAAUACCAGGA